AUCUGUGGAAGGUGCACAACUUGCAAGCUUGCAAAGUCUAAAGUUCAACCCCACGGUUUGUAUACUCCUUUGCCUAUUCCUACUCAUCCUUGGAAUGACAUAUCUAUGGAUUUUGUUAUGGGUUUGCCUAGAACUAGGAAUGGAAAGGAUUCUAUCUUUGUGGUUGUUGAUAGAUUCUCUAAAAUGGCACAUUUCAUAGCUUGCAAUAAAACUGAUGAUGCAUUACAUGUAGCUAAUUUGUUCUUUAAAGAAGUUGUACGUUUGCAUGGAAUACCUAGGACUAUAGUUUCAGACAGAGAUACUAAAUUCCUCAGCUACUUUUGGAAAACAUUGUGGUCUAAACUAGGAACUAAGCUAUUGUUUUCUACUACUUGUCAUCCACAAACUGAUGGGCAAACUGAAGUAGUUAAUCGAACCCUAGGGACUCUCCUGCGUGCAUUCAUCAAAAAGAACUUGAAAUCAUGGGAAGAUUACUUGCCUCAUUGUGAAUUUGCAUACAAUCAUGCUAUGCAUUCUGCUUCUAAGUUUUCUCCUUUUGAAAUUGUUUAUGGGUUCAAUCCCAUCUCACCUUUGGAUCUAAUACCUUUGCCUGAGUGUGAAAGAGUUAGUAUGGAUGGGAAAAGGAAAGCUGAGAUGGUUCAGCAGAUUCAUGAGCAAGCUAAGCGCAAUCUUGAAGAGGAAACUAAGCAAUACGCCAAACAAGCUAACAAGGGAAGGCGUGAGAUGAUCUUUGAAGUUGGAGAUCAAGUAUGGGUUCACUUGAGGAAAGAGAGGUUUCCAAAAGAGAGGAAGUCUAAGUUAAUGCCGAGAAUUGAUGGCCCUUUUGAAGUCACCAAGAGGAUCAAUGACAAUGCCUACAAACUUGAUCUGCAAGGUAAGUACGAUAUAAGUGAUAGCUUCAAUGUUACUGACUUAAUUCCUUUUAUUGCAGAUGAGCCAGAUUUGAGGACAGAUCCUUUUCAAGAGGGAGGGGAUGAUAUGAUCAUGGACCAACUAGCUAAUGAAGAUGAUGAGGAUCUAGAUAAGCCGGCUGAUGAAGAUGUUCUAGUCUUAUCUAAAGGACCUCUAACUCGAUCAAGAUCAAGGAAGCUCACGCAAGCUAUUGGAGGAUUGGUUAAGAUGUCAUGGAAGCAAGAGGAAUGUCUUGGUAAAAGCUUAAUCAGCCAAGACACACUUAUCACCAUUCAAGCUACUUCACCAUCAAGCUGAUCAUCAACUAAGCAAGCAAUCUAUGCGUGUUCUUUUUCCCUAUCUUUGGUUUUGUCCCAUUGGGUUUUCCAAAGAUAAGUUUUUAACGAGGCCAUAGAUUUGCUUCUCAAAUCUCUUAGUUGAUGAUCUCGAUCCAACCUUAUCCCGGAUCAACCUUAUGUUAUAUUAUGUCUUUCAUGUUAUGCUUUUGUUUUCAAACUUGUCUUUUGUUUCUAUUUCCAAGAGAGCCGUGUGCCUUUACUCUCUUGAUAGUUUUUGAGAAGCUUGGAGUCUGUUCCAACUUCUCUUAUAUAAGAGUACUUUGAAACCCUUAUGAAGAUUCAAUUAUCUUUGCUCAUAAACAUUUCUCUUGUUCUCUCUACUACUUGUUUCACGAGUUGUUGAGUGUUCUUGUUGGUGUGUAAUAUCCAACAGCCCAAGAGUGUCUAUCUCGGUAUGUUAUAUCCGAUCUAGUCACUUAGGAGUAUCAGGAAGCCUUUCCGCAGCCUCUUGUGUCACCAAUCGAUUCACAACCUUGUAGAGCUUGAGUCUUUGAUUCGUUCUAGCAAGGAUCUAUCCCAUACUAUCCAGAGAAGCAAUCUAGGGACGUAUUAAAACCAGUCCUAGAUCACCUAAGAGUGUUUGGGUGUGUAAGCUAUGUUCUUGUCCCGGGAGAGAUGAGUAACAAGCUGGAAGCAAAGAGUAUCAAAGCUAUGAUGAUAGGAUACUCAACUACACAGAAGGGAUACAAGUGCUUUGUUCCUGAGACAAGGAGAGUCCUUGUAUCUAGAGAUGUCAAGUUCUUUGAAGAGAAGAGCUACUAUGAAGAAAAAGAUUGGAAAGAGCUGGAGGAUCUUUCACAACCUUCAGAUAGAGCUACAAGCUUGAGACAGAUACUAGAAGAUCUUGGAAUUGGAAUGUCCCAGGAGUCGACAGAGGAUCAGUCAUCUGAAGGACAAGAAGCUGAAGAACCAUCUCACCUUGAUCAUGAGGGAGGGAAUGGAAUUGAGCCGGAUGAGAACCAAGAUUUUGCGGAUCAUCCUGAUCAAGGUGGAGCUGAACCAAGUAAUGAAGAGCUCAAUGAGUUACCAGAACAAGGAGGAGUGGAAGCAACUGAAGUAGAAGCACCAGAGCAAGCACCAGCUGAGGUACCAUUAAGGAGAAGCACACGGCUGAAGACAGAUGCUUCCAACUGGGUAAACACGAGAGUGUACUACAAUGCCCAGGCUGUUGAGCAUCCUUCUCAAGCUGUGUGUUCAUUUGCUUGUUAUCCAAAGGAGCAUUGGACAUUCAUGAUGAGCCUAGAUGAAAGUAGUGUACCAAGAUCAUAUGAAGAAGCAAUGCUACAUCAAGAUUGGAAGGAAUCUGUUGGAGAUGAAGCAAAUGCCAUGAUAAAGAAUGACACUUGGUUUGAAAGUGAGUUGCCAAAAGGAAAGAAGGCAGUAACCAGCAAGUGGAUAUUCACCAUUAAGUAUCUACCUGAUGGAACCAUUGACAGAAAGAAGACAAGACUGGUGGCUAGAGGAUACACUCAAACAUAUGGGGAAACUACAUUGAUACCUUUGCCCCUGUUGCCAAGCUACAUACAAUAAGAAUUGUAUUGUCUCUUGCUGUGAACCUUGAGUGGGAGCUUUGGCAGAUGGAUGUGAAGAAUGCCUUUCUUCAAGGAGAGCUAGAGGAUGAAGUGUAUAUGCAUCCACCACCAGGCCUAGAGCAUCUUGUGAAACCUGGAAACGUAUUGAGACUCAAGAAGGCUAUCUAUGGAUUAAAAAAAUCUCCUAGAGCAUGGUACAACAAGUUGAGUACUACCUUAAAUGGACGUGGGUUCAAGAAGUCUGAACUGGAUCACACUCUCUUCACUCUCACUACACCCUCAGGUAUCAUUUGUCUACUUGUAUAUGUUGAUGACAUUAUCAUAACAGGUAGUGAUAAAGCUGGUAUAAAAGCCACAAAGGAGUUUUUGAAAUCUGUGUUUGAAAUCAAAGACUUAGGAGAAAUGAAAUACUUCCUUGGAAUUGAGUUGUGUAGAUCUAAGGAAGGAUUGUUCAUUUCCCAAAGGAAGUAUACACUUGAUCUUUUGAAAGAUGCAGGUAUACAAGGAGAUAAGACAGCAAAGAUGCCUCUUGAAGAUGGAUACAAGAUUCCACGUGAGGGGGAGAUUGAAGAUAGCAAGGCCUUUCAUGAUCCAAAGCUAUACAGGAAGCUAGUAGGGAAGCUCAUCUACCUCACAAUCACACGACCAGACAUAUGCUUUGCUGUGAACCAAGUAAGCCAGCAUAUGCAAGUCCCAAAGGAGCAUCACUGGCGCAUGGUGGAGAGACUUCUCUUGUAUCUGAAUGGGACGUCAAGCCUUGGAGUGUGGAUGGGAUGCAACAAGAGCACUGAAGUGGUGGGAUACUGUGAUGCGGAUUGGGCUGGAGAUAGAGCAGACAGGAGAUCAACCACCGGCUAUUGUACAUUCAUUGGAGGCAACUUGGUGACUUGGAAGAGUAAGAAACAGAAGGUGGUGUCUUGUUCAAGCGCUGAAGCUGAGUACAGAGCAAUGCUGAAGCUUACCAAUGAGUUGGUAUGGAUCAAAGGAAUCUUGAAGCACUUGGAGAUAGAGCAGGCAACUCCAAUGACUAUGCAUUGUGAUAAUCAAGCGGCUAUACACAUUGCAACCAACUCAGUCUUCCAUGAGAGAACCAAGCACAUUGAAGUUGAUUGUCACAAGGUGAGGCAGAUGAUUGUAUUGGGAGUAAUCUUGUCGUGCUACACAAGGAGUGAGGAUCAACUUGCGGAUGUGUUUACCAAGGCUGCAAGACAAAAGACUAUGGAGUUCAUUCAUACCAGAUUGGGACUCAUAGAUCUUUCCUCAAGGAGCUGAUCCCCUUUGCCAUGAGGUUUUUACUCUUUUUCCCUCAUCAAGGUUUUGUCCCAAUGGGUUUUCCUUGGUGAGGUUUUUAAUGAGGAAGAUCUCAUGGUUGUUCCAAGCUUAACUAAGUUAUUAAGUUAAGCUUGAGGGGGAGUGUUGAAAUGAGUUGAUCAAUAUGUGAGAAGAUGGCUUAAGGAGUUGGGAAUGAGAUAGUGUGAAGGCAAAGAGAAGGAGAGCUUGGGAGUGAUCAGGCCGUACAAGGCCGUACCGGCCGUACCAUCCGUACGGUCCGGAUCAAUCCACUACUCGACCAAGAAGAGAAGUUACCGCGUGAAAGAAGUAAACGGCCAAAGGGGUUUUACCUUAGAGGAUAUGACCGUUUGGAUGGAUAGAGUGACUGAGCCUUAUCCUCACUGGCUGGAACAGGCUGUAAAGGCAAAAGGAACCUAGUCCGAGAUGCCAAAAGCGUGUGACAGCUCUCAUUGGAUCAGUUUUGAAUUAAAGCAACCUUAUCCUUGACCUCACAUGCUUAGUCUCUCUAAAACCCUUGUAUCUGAUCCUAUAUAUUGUAAACUCUGCCUUGAUUAAUGAUUAACACGAUUUCAUCAUAAUCUCUCUCUAGUUCAUCAUAUUUCUCUUCUACAUUUCAUAAAUCAUCUCAUCUCACUUUAAUCUUUCUCUAAAUCUCUCAAUACCUGUUCAACUCUCUAAAAUCAUAGUUCCAAUCAAACCAGGAUGAAUCACUUUGUAAGAAGCUUGAUUUGGAUACAUAAAGUGGUGGAGAAUUACCAGAAAGUUGAAUUAAUCUCAUAGGAGUUGGGAUGAAUGAGUUAUCCCACUUUCAAAUCAGGUGAUUCCAGUUUGUGAAUAGGACAGCUUCUUCGUCGUUCCAAUCAAACCAGGAUGAAACACUUUGUAAGAAGCUUGAUUUGGAUACAUAAAGUGUUGGAGAAACACCAGGAAGUUGAAUAAAUCUCGUAAGAGUUGGGAUGAAUGAGUUAUCCCACUUUCAAAUAAGGUGAUUCCAGUUUCCCAGUUUGGGAAUAGGACAGCUUCUUCGUCGUUCCAAUCAAACCAUGAUGAAUCACUUUGUAAGAAGCUUGAUUUGGAUACAUAAAGUGUUGGAGAAUCACCAGGAAGUUGAAUAAAUCUCAUAGGAGUUGGGAUGAAGAAGUUAUCCCACUUUCUAAUCAGGUGAUUCUAGUUUCCCAGUUUGGGAAUAAGACAGCUUCUUCGUCGUUCCAAUCAAACCAGGAUGAAUCACUUUGUAACAAGCUUGAUUUGGAUACAUAAAGUGUUGGAGAAUCACCAGGAAGUUGAAUAAAUCUCAUAGGAGUUGGGAUGAAGAAGUUAUCCCACUUUCUAAUCAGGUGAUUCCAGUUUCACAGUUUGGGAAUCGGACAGCUUCUUUGUCGUUCCAAUCAAACCAGGAUGAAUCACUUUGUAAGAAGCUUGAUUUGGAUACAUAAAGUGUUGGAGAAUCACCAGGAAGUUGAAUAAAUCUCAUAGGAGUUGGGAUGAAGAAGUUAUCCCACUUUCUAAUCAGGUGAUUCCAGUUUCCCAGUUUGGGAAUAAGACAGCUUCUUCGUCGUUCCAAUCAAACCAGGAUGAAUCACUUUGUCAGAAGCUUGAUUUGGAUACAUAAAAUGGUGGAGAAACAUCAGGAAGUUGAAUAAAUCUCAUAGGAGUUGGGAUGAAGAAGUUAUCCCACUUUCUAAUCAGGUGAUUCUAGUUUCCCAGUUUGGGAAUAGGACAGCUUCUUCGUCGUUCCAAUCAAACCAGGAUAAAUCACUUUGUAAGAAGCUUGAUUUGGAUACAUAAAGUGUUGGAGAAUCACCAGGUAGUUGAAUUAAUCUCAUAGGAGUUGGGAUGAAUGAGUUAUCCCACUUUCAAAUCAGGUGAUUCCAGUUUUCCCAGUUUGGGAAUAAGACAACUUCUUCGUCGUUCCAAUCAAAACAGGAUGAAUCACUUUGUAAGAAGCUUGAUUUGGAUACAUAAAGUGUUGGAGAAUCACCAGGAAGUUGAAUAAAUCUCAUAGGAGUUGGGAUGAAGAAGUUAUCCCACUUUCUAAUCAGGUGAUUCCAGUUUCCCAGUUUGGGAAUAUGACAGCUUCUUCGUCGUUCCAAUCAAACCAGGAUGAAUCACUUUGUAAGAAGCUUGAUUUGGAUACAUAAAGUGUUGGAGAAUCACCAGGAAGUUGAAUUAAUCUCAUAGGAGUUGGGAUGAAUGAGUUAUCCCACUUUCAAAUCAGGUGAUUCCAGUUUCCCAGUUUGGGAAUAGGACAGCUUCUUCGUCGUUCCAAUCAAACCAUGAUGAAUCACUUUGUAAGAAGCUUGAUUUGGAUACAUAAAGUGUUGGAGAAUCACCAGGAAGUUGAAUAAAUCUCAUAGGAGUUGGGAUGAAGAAGUUAUCCCACUUUCUAAUCAGGUGAUUCCAGUUUCCCAGUUUGGGAAUAGGACAGCUUCUUUGUCGUUCCAAUCAAACCAGGAUGAAUCACUUUGUAAGAAGCUUGAUUUGGAUACAUAAAGUGUUGGAGAAUCACCAGGAAGUUGAAUAAAUCUCAUAGGAGUUGGGAUGAAGAAGUUAUCCCACUUUCUAAUCAGGUGAUUCCAGUUUCCCAGUUUGGGAAUAGGACAGCUUCUUCGUCGUUCCAAUCAAACCAGGAUGAAUCACUUUGUAAGAAGCUUGAUUUGGAUACAUAAAGUGUUGGAGAAUCACCAGGAAGUUGAAUAAAUCUCAUAGGAGUUGGGAUGAAGAAGUUAUCCCACUUUCUAAUCAGGUGAUUCCAGUUUCCCAGUUUGGGAAUAGGACAGCUUCUUCGUCGUUCCAAUCAAACCAGGAUGAAUCACUUUGUAAGAAGCUUGAUUUGGAUACAUAAAGUGUUGGAGAAUCACCAGGAAGUUGAAUAAAUCUCAUAGGAGUUGGGAUGAAUGAGUUAUCCCACUUUCAAAUCAGGUGAUUCCAGUUUCCCAGUUUGGGAAUAGGACAGCUUCUUCGUCGUUCCAAUCAAACCAGGAUGAAUCACUUUGUAAGAAGCUUGAUUUGGAUACAUAAAGUGUUGGAGAAUCACAAGGAAGUUGAAUUAAUCUCAUAGGAGUUGGGAUGAAGAAGUUAUCCCACUUUCUAAUCAGGUGAUUCCAGUUUCCCAGUUUGGGAAUAGGACAGCUUUUUCGUCGUUCCAAUCAAACCAGGAUGAAUCACUUUGUAAGAAGCUUGAUUUGGAUACAUAAAGUGUUGGAGAAUCACCAGGAAGUUGAAUUAAUCUCAUAGGAGUUGGGAUGAAGAAGUUAUCCCACUUUCUAAUCAGGUGAUUCCAGUUUCCCAGUUUGGGAAUAGGACAGCUUCUUCGUCGUUCCAAUCAAACCAGGAUGAAUCACUUUGUAAGAAGCUUGAUUUGGAUACAUAAAGUGUUGGAGAAUCACCAGGAAGUUGAAUAAAUCUCAUAGGAGUUGGAUGAAGAAGUUAUCCCACUUUCUAAUCAGGUGAUUCCAGUUUCCCAGUUUGGGAAUAGGACAGCUUCUUUGUCGUUCCAAUCAAACCAGGAUGAAUCACUUUGUAAGAAGCUUGAUUUGGAUACAUAAAAUGGUGGAGAAACAUCAGGAAGUUGAAUAAAUCUCAUAGGAGUUGGGAUGAAGAAGUUAUCCCACUUUCUAAUCAGGUGAUUCCAGUUUCCCAGUUUGGGAAUAGGACAGCUUCUUCGUCGUUCCAAUCAAACCAGGAUGAAUCACUUUGUAAGAAGCUUGAUUUGGAUACAUAAAGUGUUGGAGAAUCACCAGGAAGUUGAAUUAAUCUCAUAAGAGUUGGGAUGAAUGAGUUAUCCCACUUUCUAAUCAGGUGAUUCCAGUUUCCCAGUUUGGGAAUAGGACAGCUUCUUCGUCGUUCCAAUCAAACCAGGAUGAAUCACUUUGUAAGAAGCUUGAUUUGGAUACAUAAAAUGGUGGAGAAACACCAGGAAGUUGAAUAAAUCUCAUAGGAGUUGGGAUGAAGAAGUUAUCCCACUUUCUAAUCAGGUGAUUCCAGUUUCCCAGUUUGGGAAUAGGACAGCUUCUUCGUCGUUCCAAUCAAACCAGGAUGAAUCACUUUGUAAGAAGCUUGAUUUGGAUACAUAAAGUGGUGGAGAAUCACCAGGAAGUUGAAUAAAUCUCAUAGGAGUUGGGAUGAAGAAGUUAUCCCACUUUCAAAUCAGGUGAUUCCAGUUUCCCAGUUUGGGAAUAGGACAGCUUCUUCGUCGUUCCAAUCAAACCAGGAUGAAUCACUUUGUAAGAAGCUUGAUUUGGAUACAUAAAGUGGUGGAGAAUCACCAGGAAGUUGAAUAAAUCUCAUAGGAGUUGGGAUGAAUGAGUUAUCCCACUUUCAAAUCAGGUGAUUCCAGUUUCCCAGUUUGGGAAUAGGACAGCUUCUUCGUCGUUCCAAUCAAACCAGGAUGAAUCACUUUGUAAGAAGCUUGAUUUGGAUACAUAAAGUGUUGGAGAAACACCAGGAAGUUGAAUAAAUCUCAUAGGAGUUGGGAUGAAGAAGUUAUCCCACUUUCUAAUCAGGUGAUUCCAGUUUCCCAGUUUGGGAAUAGGACAGCUUCUUCGUCGUUCCAAUCAAACCAGGAUGAAUCACUUUGUAAGAAGCUUGAUUUGGAUACAUAAAGUGUUGGAGAAUCACCAGGAAGUUGAAUUAAUCUCAUAGGAGUUGGGAUGAAUGAGUUAUCCCACUUUCAAAUCAGGUGAUUCCAGUUUCCCAGUUUGGGAAUAGGACAGCUUCUUCGUCGUUCCAAUCAAACCAGGAUGAAUCACUUUGUAAGAAGCUUGAUUUGGAUACAUAAAGUGUUGGAGAAUCACCAGGAAGUUGAAUAAAUCUCAUAGGAGUUGGGAUGAAGAAGUUAUCCCACUUUCUAAUCAGGUGAUUCCAGUUUCCCAGUUUGGGAAUAGGACAGCUUCUUCGUCGUUCCAAUCAAACCAGGAUGAAUCACUUUGUAAGAAGCUUGAUUUGGAUACAUAAAGUGUUGGAGAAUCACCAGGAAGUUGAAUAAAUCUCAUAGGGGUUGGGAUGAAGAAGUUAUCCCACUUUCUAAUCAGGUGAUUCCAGUUUCCCAGUUUGGGAAUAGGACAGCUUCUUCGUCGUUCCAAUCAAACCAGGAUGAAUCACUUUGUAAGAAGCUUGAUUUGGAUACAUAAAGUGUUGGAGAAUCACCAGGAAGUUGAAUAAAUCUCAUAGGAGUUGGGAUGAAGAAGUUAUCCCACUUUCUAAUCAGGUGAUUCCAGUUUCCCAGUUUGGGAAUAGGACAGCUUCUUCGUCGUUCCAAUCAAACCAGGAUGAAUCACUUUGUAAGAAGCUUGAUUUGGAUACAUAAAGUGUUGGAGAAUCACCAGGAAGUUGAAUAAAUCUCAUAGGAGUUGGGAUGAAGAAGUUAUCCCACUUUCUAAUCAGGUGAUUCCAGUUUCCCAGUUUGGGAAUAGGACAGCUUCUUCGUCGUUCCAAUCAAACCAGGAUGAAUCACUUUGUAAGAAGCUUGAUUUGGAUACAUAAAGUGGUGGAGAAACCAGGAAGUUGAAUAAAUCUCAUAGGAGUUGGGAUGAAGAAGUUAUCCCACUUUCUAAUCAGGUGAUUCCAGUUUCCCAGUUUGGGAAUAGGACAGCUUCUUCGUCGUUCCAAUCAAACCAGGAUGAAUCAAUUUGUAAGAAGCUUGAUUUGGAUACAUAAAGUGUUGGAGAAUCACCAGGAAGUUGAAUAAUCUCAUAGGAGUUGGGAUGAAGAGUUAUCCCACUUUCAAAUCAGGUGAUUCCAGUUUCCCAGUUUGGAAAUAGGACAGCUUCUUCGUCGUUCCAAUCAAACCAAGAUGAAUCACUUUGUAAGAAGCUUGAUUUGGAUACAUAAAAUGGUGGAGAAACAUCAGGAAGUUGAAUAAAUCUCAUAGGAGUUGGGAUGAAGAAGUUAUCCCACUUUCUAAUCAGGUGAUUCCAGUUUCCCAGUUUGGGAAUAGGACAGCUUCUUCGUCGUUCCAAUCAAACCAGGAUGAAUCACUUUGUAAGAAGCUUGAUUUGGAUACAUAAAGUGGUGGAGAAACAUCAGGAAGUUGAAUAAAUCUCAUAGUAGUUGGGAUGAAGAAGUUAUCCCACUUUCAAAUCAGGUGAUUCCAGUUUCCCAGUUUGGGAAUAGGACAGCUUCUUCGUCGUUCCAAUCAAACCAGGAUGAAUCACUUUGUCAGAAGCUUGAUUUGGAUACAUAAAAUGGUGGAGAAACACCAGGAAGUUGAAUAAAUCUCAUAGGAGUUGGGAUGAAUGAGUUAUCCCACUUUCAAAUCAGGUGAUUCCAGUUUCCCAGUUUGGGAAUAGGACAGCUUCUUCGUCGUUCCAAUCAAACCAGGAUGAAUCACUUUGUAAGAAGCUUGAUUUGGAUACAUAAAGUGUUGGAGAAACACCAGGAAGUUGAAUAAAUCUCAUAGGAGUUGGGAUGAAGAAGUUAUCCCACUUUCUAAUCAGGUGAUUCCAGUUUCCCAGUUUGGGAAUAGGACAGCUUCUUCGUCGUUCCAAUCAAACCAGGAUGAAUCACUUUGUAAGAAGCUUGAUUUGGAUACAUAAAGUGUUGGAGAAUCACCAGGAAGUUGAAUUAAUCUCAUAGGAGUUGGGAUGAAUGAGUUAUCCCACUUUCAAAUCAGGUGAUUCCAGUUUCCCAGUUUGGGAAUAGGACAGCUUCUUCGUCGUUCCAAUCAAACCAGGAUGAAUCACUUUGUAAGAAGCUUGAUUUGGAUACAUAAAGUGUUGGAGAAUCACCAGGAAGUUGAAUAAAUCUCAUAGGAGUUGGGAUGAAGAAGUUAUCCCACUUUCUAAUCAGGUGAUUCCAGUUUCCCAGUUUGGGAAUAGGACAGCUUUUUCGUCGUUCCAAUCAAACCAGGAUGAAUCACUUUGUAAGAAGCUUGAUUUGGAUACAUAAAGUGUUGGAGAAUCACCAGGAAGUUGAUUUAAUCUCAUAAGAGUUGGGAUGAAGAAGUUAUCCCACUUUCUAAUCAGGUGAUUCCAGUUUCCCAGUUUGGGAAUAGGACAGCUUUUCGUCGUUCCAAUCAAACCAGGAUGAAUCACUUUGUAAGAAGCUUGAUUUGGAUACAUAAAGUGUUGGAGAAUCACCAGGAAGUUGAAUAAAUCUCAUAGGAGUUGGGAUGAAGAAGUUAUCCCACUUUCUAAUCAGGUGAUUCCUGUUUCCCAGUUUGGGAAUAGGACAGCUUCUUCGUCGUUCCAAUCAAACCAGGAUGAAUCACUUUGUAAGAAGCUUGAUUUGGAUACAUAAAGUGUUGGAGAAUCACCAGGAAGUUGAAUAAAUCUCAUAGUAGUUGGAUUAAGAAGUUAUCCCACUUUCUAAUUAGGUGAUUCCAGUUUUCCAGUUUGGGAAUAUGACAGCUUCUUUGUCGUUCCAAUCAAAUCAGGAUGAAUCACAUUGUAAGAAGCUUGAUUUGGAUACAUAAAGUGUUGGAGAAUCACCAGGAAGUUGAAUUAAUCUCAUAGGAGUUGGGAUGAAGAAGUUAUCCCACUUUCUAAUCAGGUGAUUCCAGUUUCCCAGUUUGGAAUAGGACAGCUUCUUCGUCGUUCCAAUCAAACCAGGAUGAAUCACUUUGUAAGAAGCUUGAUUUGGAUACAUAAAGUGUUGGAGAAUCACCAGGAAGUUGAAUAAUCUCAUAGGAGUUGGGAUGAAGAAGUUAUCCCACUUUAAAUCAGGUGAUUCCAGUUUCCCAGUUUGGGAAUAGGACAGCUUCUUCGUCGUUCCAAUCAAACCAGGAUGAAUCACUUUGUAAGAAGCUUGAUUUGGAUACAUAAAGUGGUGGAGAAUCACCAGGAAGUUGAAUAAUCUCAUAGGAGUUGGGAUGAAGAAGUUAUCCCACUUUCUAAUCAGGUGAUUCCAGUUUCCCAGUUGGGAAUAGGACAGCUUCUUCGUCGUUCCAAUCAAACCAGGAUGAAUCACUUUGUAAGAAGCUUGAUUUGGAUACAUAAAGUGGUGGAGAAUCACCAGGAAGUUGAAUAAAUCUCAUAGGAGUUGGGAUGAAGAAGUUAUCCCACUUUCAAAUCAGGUGAUUCCAGUUUCCCCCAGUUUGGGAAUAGGACAGCUUCUCUCUUCGUCGUUCCAAUCAAACCAGGAUGAAUCACUUUGUAAGAAGCUUGAUUUGGAUACAUAAAGGUGGGGAGAAACACCAGGAAGUUGAAUAAAUCUCAUAGGAGUUGGGAUGAAGAAGUUAUCCCACUUUCUAAUCAGGUGAUUCCAGUUUUCCCAGUUUGGGAAUAGGACAGCUUCUUCGUCGUUCCAAUCAACCAGGAUGAAUCACUUUGUAAGAAGCUUGAUUUGGAUACAUAAAGUGUUGGAGAAUCACCAGGAAGUUGAAUAAUCUCAUAGGAGUUGGGAUGAAGAAGUUAUCCCACUUUCUAAUCAGGUGAUUCCAGUUUCCAGUUUGGGAAUAGGACAGCUUCUUCGUCGUUCCAAUCAACCAGGAUGAAUCACUUUGUAAGAAGCUUGAUUUGGAUACAUAAAGUGUUGGAGAAUCACCAGGAAGUUGAAUAAAUCUCAUAGGAGUUGGGAUGAAGAAGUUAUCCCACUUUCUAAUCAGGUGAUUCCAGUUUCCCAGUUUGGGAAUAGGACAGCUUCUUCGUCGUUCCAAUCAAACCAGGAUGAAUCACUUUGUAAGAAGCUUGAUUUGGAUACAUAAAGUGUUGGAGAAUCACCAGGAAGUUGAAUAAAUCUCAUAGGAGUUGGGAUGAAGAAGUUAUCCCACUUUCUAAUCAGGUGAUUCCAGUUUCCCAGUUUGGGAAUAGGACAGCUUCUUCGUCGUUCCAAUCAAACCAGGAUGAAUCACUUUGUAAGAAGCUUGAUUUGGAUACAUAAAGUGGUGGAGAAUCACCAGGAAGUUGAAUAAAUCUCAUAGGAGUUGGGAUGAAGAAGUUAUCCCACUUUCUAAUCAGGUGAUUCCAGUUUCCCAGUUUGGGAAUAGGACAGCUUCUUCGUCGUUCCAAUCAAACCAGGAUGAAUCACUUUGUAAGAAGCUUGAUUUGGAUACAUAAAUUUGGAGAAUCACCAGGAAGUUGAAUAAAUCUCAUAGGAGUUGGGAUGAAGAAGUUAUCCCCUUUCUAAUCAGGUGAUUCAUUCCAGUUUCCCAGUUUGGGAAUAGGACAGCUUCUUCGUCGUUCCAAUCAAACCAGGAUGAAUCACUUUGUAAGAAGCUUGAUUUGGAUACAUAAGUUUGGAGAAUCACCAGGAAGUUGAAUAAAUCUCAUAGGAGUUAGGGAUGAAGAAGUUGCCCACUUUCUAAUCAUGUGAUUCCCUUGAUUUGGAUACAUAAAUGGUGGAGAAUCACCAGGAAGUUGAAUAAAUCUCAUAGGAGUUGGGAUGAAGAAGUUAUCCCACUUUCUAAUCAGGUGAUUCCAGUUUCCCAGUUUGGGAAUAGGACAGCUUCUUCGUCGUUCCAAUCAAACCAGGAUGAAUCACUUUGUAAGAAGCUUGAUUUGGAUACAUAAAGUGUUGGAGAAUCACCAGGAAGUUGAAUAAAUCUCAUAGGAGUUGGGAUGAAGAAGUUAUCCCACUUUCUAAUCAGGUGAUUCCAGUUUCCCAGUUUGGGAAUAGGACAGCUUCUUCGUCGUUCCAAUCAAACCAGGAUGAAUCACUUUGUAAGAAGCUUGAUUUGGAUACAUAAAGUGUUGGAGAAUCACCAGGAAGUUGAAUAAAUCUCAUAGGAGUUGGGAUGAAGAAGUUAUCCCACUUUCUAAUCAGGUGAUUCCAGUUUCCCAGUUUGGGAAUAGGACAGCUUCUUCGUCGUUCCAAUCAAACCAGGAUGAAUCACUUUGUAAGAAGCUUGAUUUGGAUACAUAAGUGUUGGAGAAUCACCAGGAAGUUGAAUAAAUCUCAUAGGAGUUGGGAUGAAGAAGUUAUCCCACUUUCUAAUCAGGUGAUUCUAUACACUUUUGUGUAUUAGAGCAUGAUUCAACUAAUCCAGGAUAAUCAGAUGAAAAGAUUAAAGAGAUUAAGAGAUUUUAGUGAGAGAAUAGAGAGAGACUCAAAACUCCAUUAGAUUGAUUAAUGAGAGAGUUUACAACACAUAUAGAUUAGGGAUACAUCAAUUCGUCCAGGUUCACUCUAGCUAGGAUAGAAAGCAUGUGUAGUCAAAGAUGCUUGAUUAAACUAGCCAAUAAGGUUCCUCACAUGCUUGGGCAUCUUGCUUUAGCUUUCCAGCUGGUGCCAGCCUGUCUAAAGCUCUCUAGCCUUGACCAGACCUUAUCCAAACUUCCUUGCUUAUUCAGACUCAUCCUGGCGUGUUUCACUCUUCACAUAGAUGCAAGGUAACUUCCCAAGUCUUUUAACUCAGUUACCACAGUAACAAUAAAGUUACUGUGGUAAAUCUCCAAGUUACUGCCUGCUCCAAAUCCCUUCCUCUAUCCAUGUAUCCACUCUCUCCAUCUCCUCAUCUCAACACUCCCCCUCAAGCUUGACCAUGUAGAACAAGUCAAGCUUGGAAACCAUGAAGACCUCCCUCAUUAAAAACCUCACCAAGGAAAACCCAAUGGGAUAAAACCUUGAUGAGGGAAAAAGAGUGGAGACUCCAUGGUUAAGGGGCUCAUCUCCUAGGAGUAAGAUCAAUGAGUCCAAGUCUUGAUAGUAUGGACUCCAUUGUCUUCAAUCUCGCUGCCUUAGUAAACACAUCUGCAAGCUGAUCUUCACUUCUUGUAUAACAUGGCAAUAUCACUCCAAGUAUAAUCAUCUGCCUCACCUUGUGGCAAUCUCCUCUAUAUGCUUCGUCCUCUCAUGAAAGACUGAGUUAGAAGCAAUGUGGAUAGCUGCUUGAUUGUCACAAUGCAUUGUCAUAGGAGUACUCUGCUCAAUCUCCAAAUGCUUCAAGAUCCCCUUGAUCCACACCAACUCGUUUGUCAGCUUCAACAUGGCUCUAUACUCAGCUUCAGCACUUGAACAGGAGAUAACCUUCUGCUUCUUACUCUUCCAAGUGACCAAGUUCCUCCAAUGAAUGUACAAUACCCAGUAGUUGAUCUCCUGUCCACUCUAUCUCCUGCCCAAUCAGCAUCACAAUAUCCAACCACUUCUGUACUGCCAUUACAACCCAUCCAAACUCCUUGACCAGACGUGCCACUCAAAUACCUCAGUAUCCUAUCAACCAUCUUCCAAUGAUGAACCUUUGGUGCCUGCAUAUGCUGGCUCACUUGAUUCACAGCAAAGCAUAUAUCAGGUCUUGUGAUCGUCAAGUAGAUCAGCUUCCAACCAUCCUCCUAUACAGCUUAGCAUCCUCAAACAACUGGUUCUCUUCAACCUCCCCCUCACGCAAGACCUUUAUACCCUCCUCAAGAGGUGUCUUAGCUAUCUUUCCUCCAAGCACAUCAGCUUCCUUCAGCAUAUCCAUUGCAUACUUCCUUUGAGACAUAACAAACCCUCCUUUGAUCUGCAUAUCUCAAUCCCCAAGAAAUACUUCAUCUCUCCCAAGUCUUUGAUAUCAAAUACUGACCUGAGAAACUCUUUAGUGGCUUUAAUCCCAGCCUUAUCACUCCCUGUGAUAAUCAAAUCAUCCACAUACACUAGAAUCACAAUGAUCCCUGAUGGCCCGACCAGUGUGAAGAGUGUGUGAUCUAGUUCAGACUUCCUGAACCCUCUCCCAUUGAGUGUUGUACUCAGCUUCCUGUACCAGGCUCUAGGAGACUGCUUCAACCCAUAUAUAGCUUUCUUCAAUCUCAAAACAUUUCCUGGCUUUACUAGAUGCUCAAGACCAGGAGGAGGAAGCAUAUAUACCUCAUCUUCUAGCUCACCUUGCAGGAAAGCAUUCUUCACAUCCAUCUGCCACAAAUCCCACUCCAAGUUUGUUGCAAUGGAUAACACAAUUCGAAUUGUGUGAAGCUUGGCCACUGGUGCAAAAGUAUCAAUGUAAUCUUCUCCAUAAGUCUGUGUAAAUCCUCUUGCAACCAGCCUGGUCUUGUGCCUAUCUAUCUCCCCAUUUGCAAGAUACUUAUGGUGAAGAUCCAUCUGCUUGAAACUGCCUUCUUCCCUCUAGGUAAUUCACUCUCAUACCAAGUGUCAUUCCUGAUCAUUGCAUCCCUUUCAUCUCCUACUGAAUCUCUCCAAACCUUGUGCUUCAUAGCUUCUUCAUAAGAUCUUGGUAUCUCAUUCUCAUCCAAGUUACACAUAAACACCAUGUGCUCUUCUGGAAACUCAGCAAAGGAACACAUGGCUUGAGAGGGAUGCUCCACAGCCUGGGCAUUGUAGUACACUCUCGUGUUUACCCAGUUGGAAGGAUCCCUCCUUAUCCUUGUGCUCCUCCGCAAGGUCUCAACCUGUUCUUCAGCCUGAACAUUCUCUUGUGCUUCCUCUCUUAAACCAGUAGGUUCUCCCUGCUCAUUUCCAGCAGGUUCUCCCUGCUCAUUUCCACCUGACUGAGCUCCACUCUCUACUUCCUGUGUCUCCUCCUGAUCAUGCUGACCUGAAUCCUCUUGGUUAUGCUCCUGCUCCCUGAUUCAGAUCCAUUCCCCCUCUCAUGAUCAAGAGGAGUUGUUCCUCCAGCUUCUCCAGCUUGAUUAGUAGGUCCUGUUCUUCCUGGUUCCUGAUCUUGGGAUAAUCCUAUCCCUAGCCUCUCCAACAACACCCUCAAUGUUGUUGCCUUCUCUGAUGGAGCUCGGGACAGAUCCUCUAGGUCUUCCCAUUUCUUCUCCUCAUAAUACCCUUUAGACUCAACAAACUUCACUUCUCUAGAUACCAUAACCCUCCUAGUUAUUGGAUCAUAACAUUUGUAGCCUUUCUGAGUGAUUGAGUACCCAAUGAACAUAGCUUUAGUACUCUUUGCUUCUAGCUUGUUCCUUCUUUCUCCGGGAAUCAUCACAUAACAUAAGCACCCAAAGACUCUCAAAUGAUCAAUGUGUGGCUUGGUCUUGUUCAAUACUUCAAAGGGAGACAGUUUCUUCAAGACACGGGUUGGCACUCUAUUGAUGAGAUAGCAAGCAGUCUGAACAGCAUCACUCCAAAACCUCUUAGGGACAUUCAUGUGGAACAUGAUUGAUCUCGCAACCUCCAUCAAAUGUCUGUUCUUCCUCUCAGCCACCCCAUUUUGUUGUGGUGUGUAAGGACAGCUAGUUUGUUGCACAAUCCCAUGCUUUGCAAGAUGACUCUUGAAAGCAUUGCUAGUGUAUUCUCCUCCAUUAUCAGACCUCAGAAUCUUCACAGUGGCAUUGUACUGAUUAGUAACAUAUGCUUGGAAGUUCAUGAAGGCUUCUAGGACUCUGUCUUUGGAGGGAAUCAUGGUGAUCCAUGUGUACUUGACUUCUCAUCAAUGAAAGUCACAAAGUACUUAUGGCUGUCUCUAGACAUACAGGGAGCUGUCCACACGUCUGAAUGCACCAGAUCAAAGCAAUUCUCAUAUCUGGUUUCUGAUGUUGGGAAGACAGUCCUACAGUGCUUUCCAAGUAUACAAGCUUCACACUCCAAGUGAUUGAACGCCAUACUUGGUAGAAUCAGUUCAAUUGCCUUGGCAUGAGGAUGUCCCAGCCUUGCAUGCCAUGUGAGAUUAUCACACCUAUCCGUUGUGCUGCUUAAACACACAGACUCCACAGGACUAGGCGCCUCAGUUGUUUGGAGAUGAUAGAGCUGAUGCUUGCUGUCUCCUCUGCCAAUAACCCUUCCAGUCUUCAAAUCCUGGAACUCAACUUCAUUUGGUCUGAAAACCACUUGACAAUCCAGAUCAACUGUAGCCUUCUUAACUGAGAUUAGAUUGGAUGUAAACUGAGGUAGGUAGAAGGCAGUGGAGUUCUUCUCAAACAGCUUGAGGUUUCCCACUCCUUCUAUUGGGAUCCUGGUACCAUUGGCUAUCAUGACACUCCCUGUUGCUGCUUUAACCUCACUGAUUAGUCUCUUGUCACUGAUCAUGUGGUGUGUUGCUCCAGAGUCAAUGAUGAUGGGUUUAGAUGUGGAUGCUUUGGCAGGAGCACCCAGACUCCGGGUCGUAGCCAAAGCAUACACAUGCUUAACCAACUCAUCCCAUUCCUUCUUUGUCACACACUCAUCUGCCCUCUUGGUAUCCAUUCCUCUCAUAUCCGCACUGUCUCCUACUGUUUCUCCCAUGUAAGCUGAGUAUGAACACUCUCCUAUAACCAUCUGCUGAAGUACAUCCUUGAUUCUCUUCAAGAUUACACUCAUCCUGCCACUUAAGUGCUCAGACUCGCUAUCCUUUCUCCAUACCCUUCUCUUCAUUAACCACUCCUUAGAAAGUUUUCUCAACCUUCCCCUCUUACAGCUUGUACCUCCCUUCCAUCUUUCUGGCUUCCUGUUCAUUUCCCACACAUCACAAGUAUAUUUAACAAGCUCACAUACCUCUUCCAUAAGGAAGCUGAAGAUCACAUCUUGCUUCCUCCUUUCUUGACUACAUCUCGGAUUUGAUGUGUGUGUCUUCACCACAUCUAGCUCUGACCACACUUCUCUCAGCCUUCCCACAAGCUGAUAACACUCAUCCUUUCCUUGUCUCAAGCCGCGGAUCACCCCUCUGUCCUCAAUGACUCUCACAAGCUUGGACUUGCCUAAAGUUGCUUCAAUCUCACUCUUUGUAGUGUUUCCUUGAACAACUUCAUUUCCCAGCUUCAGACCUCUUGUCUGACCUUCUUCAGUAGCCAUUUCCAUGAAAGGUUUCCCCUUUCCAUGACUACCAUAACCCACAGCUUUCCAAAGCUCUUUUAGCCCACCUUGACCACUCGCCAAGCCUCUCCUCUUCAGUCUUCACAGUUGACUCAGGUCUGUGCUCCAUUUCCAUGUUGAGAUGAUUUGGAUUCACCAGAACCUCUCACGCCACCAAGAUAAUGAAACCCAGGAGUUAAGAACACCAAGAACACUCAAGAACACUCAAACUUUAAGGAAAAAGGAAUCACACUCUCCCACUUUGCGCAACCUGGCUCUGAUACCAUAUACACUUUUGUGUAUUAGAGCAUGAUUCAACUAAUCCAGGAUAAUCAGAUGAAAAGAUUAAAGAGAUUAAGAGAUUUUAGUGAGAGAAUAGAGAGAGACUCAAAACUCCAUUAGAUUGAUUAAUGAGAGAGUUUACAACACAUAUAGAUUAGGGAUACAUAGUGUUGGAGAAUCACCAGGAAGUUGAAAAAUCUCAUAGGAGUUGGGGUGGAUGAAGAAGUUAUCCCGCUUUCUAAUCAGGUGAUUCCAGUUUCCCAAUUUGGGAAUAGGACAGCUUCUUCGUCGUUCCAAUCAAACCAGGAUGAAUCACUUUGUAAGAAGCUUGAUUUGGAUACAUAAAAUGGUGGAGAAUCACCAGGAAGUUGAAUAAAUCUCAUAGGAGUUGGGGUGAAGAAGUUUAUCCCACUUUCUAAUCAGGUGAUUCCAGUUUCCCAGUUUGGGAAUAGGACAGCUUCUUCGUCGUUCCAAUCAAACCAGGAUGACACUUUGUAAGAAGCUUGAUUUGGAUACAUAAAUUGGUUGGAGAAUCACCAGGAAAGUUGAAUAAAUCUCAUAGGAGUUGGGAUGAAGAAGUUAUCCCGCUUUCUAAUCAGGUGAUUCCAGUUUCCCAAUUUGGGAAUAGGACAGCUUCUUCGUCGUUCCAAUCAAACCAGGAUGAAUCACUUUGUAAGAAGCUUGAUUUGGAUACAUAAAAUGGUGGAGAAUCACCAGGAAGUUGAAUAAAUCUCAUAGGAGUUGGGGUGAAGAAGUUAUCCCACUUUCUAAUCAGGUGAUUCCAGUUUCCCAGUUUGGGAAUAGGACAGCUUCUUCGUCGUUCCAAUCAAACCAGGAUGAAUCACUUUGUCAGAAGCUUGAUUUGGAUACAUAAAAUGGUGGAGAAUCACAUUAGGAAGUUGAAUAAUCUCAUAGGAGUUGGAUGAAGAAGAUAUCCCACUUUCUAAUCAGGUGAUUCCAGUUUCCCAGUUUGGGAAUAUGACAGCUUCUUCGUCGUUCCAAACAAACCAGGAUGAAUCACUUUGUAAGAAGCUUGAUUUGGAUACAUAAAAUGUUAGAGAAUCACCAGGAAGUUGAAUAAAUCUCAUAGGAGUUGGGAUGAAGAAGUUAUCCCACUUCCUAAUCAGGUGAUUCCAGUUUCCCAGUUUGGAAUAGGACAGCUUCUUUGUCGUUCCAAUCAAACCAGGAUGAAUCACUUUGUAAUAAGCUUGAUUUGGAUAUAUAAAGUGGUGGAGAAUUACCAGGAAGUUGAAUAAAUCUCAUAGGAGUUGGGGUGAAGAAGUUAUCCCACUUUCUAAUCAGGUGAUUCCAGUUUCCCAGUUUGGGAAUAGGACAGCUUCUUCGUCGUUCCAAUCAAACCAGGAUGAAUCACUUUGUAAGAAGCUUGAUUUGGAUACAUAAAGUGGUGGAGAAUCACCAGGAAGUUGAAUAAAUCUCAUAGGAGUUGGGGUGAAGAAGUUAUCCCGCUUUCUAAUCAGGUGAUUCCAGUUUCCCAGUUUGGGAAUAGGACAGCUUCUUCGUCGUUCCAAUCAAACCAGGAUGAAUCACUUUGUAAGAAGCUUGAUUUGGAUACAUAAAGUGUGGAGAAUCACCAGGAAGUUGAAUAAAUCUCAUAGGAGUUGGGGUGAAGAAGUUAUCCCGCUUUCAAUCAGGUGAUUCCAGUUUCCCAGUUUGGGAAUAGGACAGCUUCUUCGUCGUUCCAAUCAAACCAGGAUGAAUCACUUUGUAAGAAGCUUGAUUUGGAUACAUAAAGUGUUGGAGAAUCACCAGGAAGUUGAAUAAAUCUCAUAGGAGUUGGGAUGAAGAAGUUAUCCCGCUUUCUAAUCAGGUGAUUCCAGUUUCCCAAUUUGGGAAUAGGACAGCUUCUUCGUCGUUCCAAUCAAACCAGGAUGAAUCACUUUGUAAGAAGCUUGAUUUGGAUACAUAAAAUGGUGGAGAAACAUUAGGAAGUUGAAUAAAUCUCAUAGGAGUUGGGAUGAAGAAGAUAUCCCACUUUCUAAUCAGGUGAUUCCAGUUUCCCAAUUUGGGAAUAGGACAGCUUCUUCGUCGUUCCAAUCAAACCAGGAUGAAUCACUUUGUAAGAAGCUUGAUUUGGAUACAUAAAAUGGUGGAGAAUCACCAGGAAGUUGAAUAAAUCUCAUAGGAGUUGGGGUGAAGAAGUUAUCCCGCUUUCUAAUCAGGUGAUUCCAGUUUCCCAGUUUGGGAAUAGGACAGCUUCUUCGUCGUUCCAAUCAAACCAGGAUGAAUCACUUUGUAAGAAGCUUGAUUUGGAUACAUAAAAUGGUGGAGAAACAUUAGGAAGUUGAAUAAAUCUCAUAGGAGUUGGGAUGAAGAAGAUAUCCCACUUUCUAAUCAGGUGAUUCCAGUUUCCCAGUUUGGGAAUAGGACAGCUUCUUCGUCGUUCCAAUCAAACCAGGAUGAAUCACUUUGUAAGAAGCUUGAUUUGGAUACAUAAAGUGUUGGAGAAUCACCAGGAAGUUGAAUAAAUCUCAUAGGAGUUGGGAUGAAGAAGUUAUCCCACUUUCUAAUCAGGUGAUUCCAGUUUCCCAGUUUGGGAAUAGGACAGCUUCUUCGUCGUUCCAAUCAAACCAGGAUGAAUCACUUUGUAAGAAGCUUGAUUUGGAUACAUAAAAUGGUGGAGAAUCACCAGGAAGUUGAAUAAAUCUCAUAGGAGUUCGGGUGAAGAAGUUAUCCCACUUUCUAAUCAGGUGAUUCCAGUUUCCCAGUUUGGGAAUAGGACAGCUUCUUCGUCGUUCCAAUCAAACCAGGAUGAAUCACUUUGUGAGAAGCUUGAUUUGGAUACAUAAAAUGGUGGAGAAUCACCAGGAAGUUGAAUAAAUCUCAUAGGAGUUGGGAUGAAGAAGUUAUCCCACUUUCAAAUCAGGUGAUUCCAGUUUCCCAGUUUGGGAAUAGGACAGCUUCUUCGUCGUUCCAAUCAAACCAGGAUGAAUCACUUUGUAAGAAGCUUGAUUUGGAUACAUAAAGUGUUGGAGAAUCACCAGGAAGUUGAAUAAAUUAUGAGAUUAGAGAGUAGAAUAGGUAUUGAGAGAUUAAGAGAGAUUUGGUAAGAGAUUAAGAGAGGUUUAGAAGAGAUUGUGAGAGAAAUGGGGAGAUUAAGUAUGAUCCAUGAUGAACAAGAGAGAGAGACUAGAGAGAGAGUAACAUAACUCGCAUACUUUAAUUAAUGAGAGAGUGUUUACAAUAUAUAGGAGGUGAUACUAGGGUUUAAGAAGAGACUAAGCAUGUGAGGUCAAGUCUAAGGGAGCCUUUAAUUUGAACCGGACCAAUGAGCCUCUCCACACGCGUGGUCACUAUGCUAAAAGUGAACCUUAUCCUUCCAGCCUGUGCCAGCCUGUAGAGACGCUCUUCCUCUAUCCAUAAACGGUCAUAUGCCUUCUUUGGUCAAGGCAAAACAUGAUCAGACCGUGAACUUCUUCUCGCGGUAACAUUUCUUUACCGCUUGGUCGAUACCGUCUGUACGGCCGUACGGCCAUGGUACGGACCUGUACGGACCGGUACGGACGGUUCUCCCUAAGGCCAAUCCUUCUCCUCUUCUCCACAUCACAACCUCUUCAACCCUGAACAACUCUCCUCAUAUUCCUCAGCUCAUCUCAACACUCCCCCUCAAGCUUGACCAUGUGGAACAAGUCAAGCUUGGAAGGAUCAUGAGCUCCUCCUCAUUAAAAACCUCAUCAAAGAAAACCCAUUGGGACAAAACUCUGAUGAGGGAAAAAGAGUAAGGACCUCAUGAUCAGGAGAGUGUAUAGAUCAGCCCUUAGGCGAAAGAUCAAGGAGUCCCAACCUUAUGUGAAUUGACUCCAUUGUCUUUUGCCUAGCCGCCUUAGUGAAUACAUCUGCCAACUGAUCCUCACUCCUUGUGUAGCACGGCAGUAUUACUCCCAAGACUAUCAUCUGCCUCACUUUAUGACAGUCCACUUCAAUGUGCUUGUUCUUUCAUGGAACACCGAGUUUGUGGCUAUGUGAAUGGCUGCUUGAUUGUCACAGUGCAUGGUCAUUGGUGUUGCUUGCUCAAUCUCCAAGUGCUUCAGUAUUCCUUUAAUCCAUACCAACUCAUUUGUGAGUUUAGCAUUGCUCUAUACUCAGCCUCGGCACUUGAGCAUGACACCACCUUCUGCUUCUUACUCUUCCAAGUAACCAUGUUUCCACCAAUGAAUGUGCAAUAGCCGGUUGUAGAUCUUCUAUCUGUUCUGUCUCCAGCCCAAUCUGCAUCACAAUAUCCCACUGCUUCAGUACUCCCGUUACAACCCAUCCAUAUACCAAGCCCUUGAGUUCCAUUCAGAUACAUGAGAACUCUUUCUACCAUGCGCCAGUGAUGCUCUCUUGGAGCUUGCAUAUGCUGACUCACUUGGUUCACAGCAAAACAGAUGUCUGGCCUAGUGAUGGUUAGAUAGAUCAGCUUCCCCACAAGCUUCCUGUAUAGCUUUGGAUCAUGAAAUAGCUUACUAUCUUCUAGCUCCCCCUCACGUGGAGCUUUAUACCCAUCCUCCAUGGGCAUCUUGGCUGUCUUUCCACCAUACGCACCAGCCUCCUUCAAUAGAUCCAAGAUAUACUUCCUUUGUGAGAUGAACAACCCUUCUUCUGAUCUGCACAGCUCAAUUCCAAGGAAGUACUUCAUUUCUCCCAAGUCUUUGAUGUCAAACACAGAUUUCAGAAACUCCUUGGUCUCCUUGAUUUCAACCUUAUCACUGCCUGUGAUAACUAUGUCAUCCACAUAUACAAGAAGCACAACAAUGCCAGCAGGUGUCGUAAGAGUGAAGAGAGUGUGAUCAAGCUCUGAUUUCCUGAAACCUCUUCCAUUUAGAGUUGUGCUCAGCUUGUGAUACCAUGCCCUUGGUGAUUGCUUCAACCCAUAGAUGGCCUUCUUCAGUCUCAGCACAUUCCCUGGUUUCACCAUCCCUUCUAGGCCCGGAGGUGGUAGCAUGUAAACUUCAUCUUCUAACUCUCCUUGGAGAAAUGCAUUCUUAACAUCCAUCUGCCAAAGAUCCCACCCAAGGUUAGUAGCCACUGAUAGGACUAUUCGAAUGGUGUGUAGCUUUGCAACUGGAGCAAAUGUAUCAAUGUAGUCUUCUCCAUAAGUCUGAGUGAACCCUCUUGCUACCAGUCUAGUCUUCUUCCUCUCAAUCGACCCAUCAGCCUUGUACUUGACUGUAAAGAUCCAUCUACUAGACACAGCCUUCUUCCCUUUUGGUAGUUCACUCUCAUACCAUGUGUCAUUCUUUAUCAUAGCUCCUGCCUCAGCUCCUACUGAUUCCUUCCAUUCCUUAUCUUCCAUUGCCUCUUCAUAGCUUCUUGGAAUGUGAUUCUUAUCUAAGUUUACCAUAAAUGCACAAUGUGCUUCUGGAUAUUGAGCAAAGGAACACACAGCCUGAGUAGGAUGCUUCACAGCUUGGGCAUUGUAGUACACUCUCGUGUUUACCCAACUGGAAGGAUCCUUCCUCAGCCUUGUACUCCUUCUCAACACUGGCCCUUCUUGUGCCAUCUCUUGUUCUUCUUCUACUUGUGGAGUCACUGCUUCAGUCUGUUCUUCAGCUUCAGCUCUAGCCUCUCCUUGUCUCUGAUCUUCUUCAUUCAGUUCUCCCCUUGCUGAUCCUUCUCCACUUUGGACAGGAGAAUCAGUUCCUCUGUUUCCUAGCUCACCUGCCUCUUCUAAGCCUUGGUCCUCUAGUUCAGAUACUGAUUCACUUCCCCCCUCAUGUGCAAAGUGGGAUGGUUCUUCUGCUGCAGCUGGAGUAGGUUCUGGACGCCUACUCUGAUCCUGGGACACUCCAAUUCCGAGCCCCUCUAGGAUGUUUCUCAAGCAAGCAGCUCUUUCUGAUGGCUGGGAGAGAUCCUCCAAGUCUUCCCAUGUCUGCUCAUCAUAGUAUCCUUUGUCUUCCAUGAAUCUGACAUCCCUUGACACUAGGACUCUCCUAGCUGUAGGAUCAUAGCAUUUGUAUCCCUUCUGUGAAGUGGAAUACCCAAUCAUCAUAGCCUUGGUGCUCUUUGCUUCUAGUUUGUUUCUCUGCUCGCCUGGUACAAGAACAUAACACACGCAUCCAAAGGUCCUCAGGUGAUCCAAGACUGGCCUGCUCUUGUUGAGUACCUCAAAUGGAGAUUGAUCUGCCAAGAUCCUGGUUGGUAUCCUGUUGAUCAGGUAGCACGCAGUCAUCACAGCAUCACUCCAAUACCUCUUGGGAACCCCUUUGUGGAACAUCAUGGACCGGGACACCUCCAUGAGAUGUCUGUUCUUCCUUUCCGCAACUCCAUUCUGCUGUGGAGUGUAUGGGCAGCUAGUCUGGUGAAGAAUCCCAUGUUGAGCAAGGUGAUCACGAAAUGCAUGCCCAGUAUACUCCCCACCAUUAUCAGACCUGAAAAUCUUAAUCUUGGCAUGAUAUUGGUUAGUCACAUAGGCUUGAAAAUUUUUAAAUGCAUCAAGGACCCUAUCUUUAGUUUUAAUCAAUGUUAACCAGGUGUAUUUGGAUUUUUCAUCAAUGAAUGUGACAUAAUACUUGUAAUCAUCCCUAGAUAAGCAAGGUGCCGUCCAAACAUCAGAGUGAAUUAAAUCAAAGCAGUUUGCAUAAAGAGUAGAUGAUCUCUGAAAAACAGUCUUACAAUGUUUGCCCAAAAUACAUGCCUCACAAUCAUUAUUUUUAAACAUGACACCUGGUAACAUAAUGCUUAAGGCCCUAACAUGUGGAUGUCCUAGCCUAGCAUGCCACAGAGCAUCAGUACUUAAGGAAGAAACAGAACUAAACGAGAAACAAGAACUAGAAAUAGGUGCAAGGUCUUCAAUCAUGUAAAGAUCCCCCUUGGUUGCUCCUUGCCCAAUCAACUUACUGCUCUUAAUAUCCUGAAACUUAACAUCAUUAGGACUGAAAAUAACAUUGCAUUGAAGAUCAGUAGUGCAUUUCUUAACUGAUAAAAGAUUAGAGGUGAACUCAGGCAUGUAAAAAGCUUUUGAAUCCUUAUUAAACAAGUUCAGUUUACCAAUGCCCCUAAUGGGAAUUCUAUCUCCAUUUGCAAUCAUAACAUGUCCAAGGGCAGGUUCUAUGUCUUUUAUCAGAUUGUUAUCACUAAUCAUGUGAUGAGAUGCACCAGAGUCAAUUAUCAAUGGUUUAUGCAAGCUCCUAGCAGUCUUGGUUCUAGAUGUUUCAUUUUCAGCUUUCAGGCUCUUAACUACUCCUAACAAUCUAUCAGUUAUGCUAGUAUGAGCAGUGGCAGUACAUGAGAUUUUAAAAAUGUCUAACAGUUUAUCAGAGAUACUAGGUAAUGUAUGAGCAGAGUAUGAGUAUCCAAGAGUGUUGCCUAGCAUUUUACCAGACUCCUUGAGGGCUCGGAUGAAAGCCUCAAAGUCAGCCUUGGUGAUCACCUCCUGAGAAGUUAGAGCUCUGCCUUCACUUUCACCCGCCUUGACAUUUGGACUAGCCCCUGAUGAGCCGGCACCACUUGCUUCAGCAGAAAGGUGAGCCUUAGCUUCUCUAUCCUUGUUGAACUUGCUAGGCCUGAGGUGUGGAUGUAGGAUCCAGCACUGACUCUUCUUAUGCCCCUGCCGCUUGCAAUGCUCACAGCUUCCCUCAUACUUCUCAUACUUCCUUCCAUCUCCACGGUACGCUGCCUUGUUUGCUUGCGCCUCUUCUGCUUUAUGAGCCGUGGACAUUCCCUUCUUGCCUCCAAACAACCCAAGAGAGCCUUCCUCCUUCUGAAGUUGAGCGCAUACCUCCUCCAUGGAUGGGAGAGUAGGUGAUCUCAGGAUAUGCUUGAUCACAUCCUGGUAGCUUUCAUCUAGAGUCAUCAAUAGCCCAAACACCUGAUCUUGCUCUCUCCUCUCAAUGAGCGAUUCCUCAUCAGUUGUGUUGGGUCUAAGACUCUCAAGUUCGGACCACAAAGCUCCAAACUUCCCCAUGUGCUUGGUGAGAUCUUCUCCAUCUUGCCUCAAGACACUGAUGGUUUGCUUCAGAUCAAACACCCGGCUUAUGUUGGACUUGUUUCCAUACCUCUUAUGGAGCAUGUCCCAAAGGCGCUUAGGAGUCUCAAAGUGCACGUAAGCUUCAAGUAUGGGGAGCUCCAGGGAGGCAUGGAGCACAGACAGCACCAUCAAAUCCUCUUGGACCCAUCUCUUUGCUUCAGCUACCGCAAGAGUCUUCCCGUCGCCUUCUUCUUCAUCUUCUUUGGCCACUGGCUCCGGACCAUCAUCUGUGAUGUGGUUCCACAACCCUAGCCUUCCAAUGGUAGUCCUCACCAACUGGGACCACAUCAAGUAGUUCGAGCCUCCCUUCAGUGCAACCGGAACCGUCACCAGUUUGCUAAAGUUGGUCGUCUCCAUCUCCUCUUCUUUAACACACAAGAACAAACUCGCAAAUGUAAAGAAAGGAACAAGGAUCUCUCAAUACCAAAGCCAACCUGGCUCUGAUACCAUAUGAGAUUAGAGAGUAGAAUAGGUAUUGAGAGAUUAAGAGAGAUUUGGUAAGAGAUUAAGAGAGGUUUAGAAGAGAUUGUGAGAGAAAUGGGGAGAUUAAGUAUGAUCCAUGAUGAACAAGAGAGAGAGACUAGAGAGAGAGUAACAUAACUCGCAUACUUUAAUUAAUGAGAGAGUGUUUACAAUAUAUAGGAGGUGAUACUAGGGUUUAAGAAGAGACUAAGCAUGUGAGGUCAAGUCUAAGGGAGCCUUUAAUUUGAACCGGACCAAUGAGCCUCUCCACACGCGUGGUCACUAUGCUAAAAGUGAACCUUAUCCUUCCAGCCUGUGCCAGCCUGUAGAGACGCUCUUCCUCUAUCCAUAAACGGUCAUAUGCCUUCUUUGGUCAAGGCAAAACAUGAUCAGACCGUGAACUUCUUCUCGCGGUAACAUUUCUUUACCGCUUGGUCGAUACCGUCUGUACGGCCGUACGGCCAUGGUACGGACCUGUACGGACCGGUACGGACGGUUCUCCCUAAGGCCAAUCCUUCUCCUCUUCUCCACAUCACAACCUCUUCAACCCUGAACAACUCUCCUCAUAUUCCUCAGCUCAUCUCAACAUAAAUCUCAUAGGAGUUGGGGUGAAGAAGUUAUCCCGCUUUCUAAUCAGGUGAUUCCAGUUUCCCAGUUUGGGAAUAGGACAGCUUCUUCGUCGUUCCAAUCAAACCAGGAUGAAUCACUUUGUAAGAAGCUUGAUUUGGAUACAUAAAGUGGUGGAGAAUCACCAGGAAGUUGAAUAAAUCUCAUAGGAGUUGGGGUGAAGAAGUUAUCCCACUUUCUAAUCAGGUGAUUCCAGUUUCCCAGUUUGGGAAUAGGACAGCUUCUUCGUCGUUCCAAUCAAACCAGGAUGAAUCACUUUGUAAGAAGCUUGAUUUGGAUACAUAAAGUGUUGGAGAAUCACCAGGAAGUUGAAUAAAUCUCAUAGGAGUUGGGAUGAAGAAGUUAUCCCGCUUUCUAAUCAGGUGAUUCCAGUUUCCCAAUUUGGGAAUAGGACAGCUUCUUCGUCGUUCCAAUCAAACCAGGAUGAAUCACUUUGUAAGAAGCUUGAUUUGGAUACAUAAAAUGGUGGAGAAUCACCAGGAAGUUGAAUAAAUCUCAUAGGAGUCGGGGUGAAGAAGUUAUCCCACUUUCUAAUCAGGUGAUUCCAGUUUCCCAGUUUGGGAAUAGGACAGCUUCUUCGUCGUUCCAAUCAAACCAGGAUGAAUCACUUUGUCAGAAGCUUGAUUUGGAUACAUAAAAUGGUGGAGAAACAUUAGGAAGUUGAAUAAAUCUCAUAGGAGUUGGGAUGAAGAAGUUAUCCCACUUUCUAAUCAGGUGAUUCCAGUUUCCCAGUUUGGGAAUAGGACAGCUUCUUCGUCGUUCCAAUCAAGCCAGGAUGAAUCACUUUGUAAGAAGCUUGAUUUGGAUACAUAAACUGUUGGAGAAUCACCAGGAAGUUGAAUAAAUCUCCUAGGAGUUGGGAUGAAGAAGUUAUCCCACUUUCUAAUCAGGUGAUUCCAGUUUCCCAGUUUGGGAAUAGGACAGCUUCUUCGUCGUUCCAAUCAAACAAGGAUGAAUCACUUUGUAAGAAGCUUGAUUUGGAUACAUAAAGUGUUGGAGAAUCACCAGGAAGUUGAAUAAAUCUCAUAGGAGUUGGGGUGAAGAAGUUAUCCCGCUUUCUAAUCAGGUGAUUCCAGUUUCCCAAUUUGGGAAUAGGACAGCUUCUUCGUCGUUCCAAUCAAACCAGGAUGAAUCACUUUGUAAGAAGCUUGAUUUGGAUACAUAAAAUGGUGGAGAAUCACCAGGAAGUUGAAUAAAUCUCAUAGGAGUUGGGGUGAAGAAGUUAUCCCACUUUCUAAUCAGGUGAUUCCAGUUUCCCAGUUUGGGAAUAGGACAGCUUCUUCGUCGUUCCAAUCAAACCAGGAUGAAUCACUUUGUAAGAAGCUUGAUUUGGAUACAUAAAGUGUUGGAGAAUCACCAGGAAGUUGAAUAAAUCUCAUAGGAGUUGGGAUGAAGAAGUUAUCCCGCUUUCUAAUCAGGUGAUUCCAGUUUCCCAAUUUGGGAAUAGGACAGCUUCUUCGUCGUUCCAAUCAAACCAGGAUGAAUCACUUUGUAAGAAGCUUGAUUUGGAUACAUAAAAUGGUGGAGAAUCACCAGGAAGUUGAAUAAAUCUCAUAGGAGUCGGGGUGAAGAAGUUGAUACAAGCCUAAGCUAACAAAGGCUAGAUCACAAGGCAACAAGAGUUGUCAAGCUUGAAUGGAUCGAUUGUCGCCACAAAGGGUUGCGGAAGUAUCCCUUUGAUAAGACCAGAAGCCUGCGCCAAUGUGAAUCCACACAAAGACAGAGACCUACACUUGUAUCCUAGAAUGAAUCCACAAACUAAAGAGACAAGCAAACGAACAAGAAAUCUAAAGGAAUCCACCUAAAGACUAAUUGAACAAAACAAAGACAAACUUUGUAAACUGAAUAAUACUUUAUUAAUUUCGUGCAAGGGGUGAUUUACAAAUGAGACUUAGCUCUGUUUAAAUAGAAAAGAACACAAAUGCCUAAAAGAAUAACUUGGAAAGAAAUAAUAAGUGAAAAACUAGCCGUUGGACUUAGUUGGUGCAGAAUCUGUCCAUGUAUGGAAGUUGUAUUCUCUCCUUGUAUCUUGUGAGUUUGGGCAGAAAUAAAUGCAUCCGUGGGAUCUCCUUUGAUGUCUGGAUAGUCUCUAAGUCGUGCCUGAACAGAAGGGGAAAGAGCCGUUGGUCUUCAAUAACUCCAAGUGUGAAUGCAUCCAUGUAAGGUAAGUUGACAAAUAAGGGAUUCAUCUUGAUCAUGUGGCUGCUGGUGCAUGGUAGAAACUCUCCCACUGCUCUUAGAUGUAAUGAAUAAUCUCCUGGUUUCCACACGUGAGUUUGAGUUGCACACUCCUUAAGCAAAGAAUUACUUUCCUUAAUUAGAACCAAUUCGGAUGUAGUGUAGAUAGUCUGACUUGUAACUGGCAUAUCUCCUAAACCAUUACUCUUUUUGGUAUGAAACCAAUUCGCUGCGUGCUCUGGUUGAGUUGAGAAUCUAUAGAAACUGGUUUCACGGUUAAAUUCCUUAUGGUUGCAAAGAUAUCCUUCUUUGAGUGCACCUAUGUCGCUGCUGGCUCCAAUGUAGCUUGUAUGGUUGAUCUCAUGAGUUGGUGGUCUAGCUACUGACUUUAGGUCCUCAUCAUUCCCUCCCUCUUCAAAAGGUUUUGUCCUCAAAACCAAUUUACCUGCACCAAGAUAGAGCAAGUUAGGUUUCAUUCUAAUUUGGGAGGCUAGGGUCUUACCUUGGUAUAUGCACGGUUUUGUGAUGCAUUGUCCAACUGGUGGUUCUUCUUUGAUCAGUAGGGAAGCUAUGCCCCCUUUCCAUGGUCGGUCUAUGAUUUCCCUUGGAAGGAUCGUGGUCUCCUUUUCGAAAUCUCCUAUUUCACAAUUGGUUUCUCCAUUGACCACUGCUUGGGUGUAAGGUUGUGAGUUUGGUUCUGGAUGCUUCUCCAUUGUACCUAUAUCUGAAUCAUCACUUAUGGGCAAGAGCAAGUGUUUCAUACUUGAAGUGGACGAUUCAAAAAAAUAAUAUUGAGUAAGAUUUAGAGCUUCACUUACCUGGUUAUCUUGCAUUGAUUCAGCUUUGGUAUUUACUACCUCUAAAGCAUGAUCAGCUGGUGUAGAGGUCUCUAGGGUAGAUUGCUCAUUAUUCUGUUGUUGUUUAGCUUCUGUACGUGUCUCCUCAUUACCUAGACCUUUAUCAACAUUCUUAUCAAGUGUUGGACUUGAUUGCGCAGCAGGGUUGGGUUCUUGUUCCUUGAUUUCUAUGUUAGUACCUGAAAUACUUUCAACCUUUUGGGCGCUAGACAAGUGUGUUAAGACAGUCAUGGAAUUACUAGAAACAGAAUUAGAUCCAGCUUUAAUCAAGUUGAUAAGAUCAUCAAACUUUUUAUCUAUUCUAGUAAAGGAAUCACUUACCUCCAAGUUGGUUUCUCUUGCUUCACGUAGUGCCAUCUUCACUGCUCGUUUUGUGGGGCAAUCUUUUGCAAGAUGACCUUGGCCUUGACACCUAUAACAAAUAACCUCAGGUGGUUUUAAAGAUUUAGAGUACUCACCUUGGUUGUGCUUUACAUGAGGUGUAUGCACUGGUUUUGAGCUUUGCCUCUGGUUUGCCGGCUGCAAGACUUGGGGUUGUACUACUCUCUUUGUAGACACCUUCUGAGCGUGUUGUGUAGGGAUGUAAGGUGCAAAUCUAUCCCUCAUGAUCCCUUUGAAUUGCUCCCAAGUGCGUAUAGGAGGCUCUUGAAAUUGUUCCCUAUACUUCUCUUCUCUUUUCCAAUACCGUUGAGCCUUUUCAGUGAGCUGUCCUAGACCAUAGGACAAGUAUUCUCCUUUUGGAAUGGAGUUGCACUUGAAGUACCUUUCCAUGUCCUCUUCCCACUGAAGAUAGUUUCUAGGGUCUUCACCUUUUCCUGAAAACUUAUACAAACGAAACUGAUCAUAUGAAUUAUAGUGAGAAGUUAAAGUUACCUCACGCUCAUGUAGUUGUCUCGGUUUCAGUUUAACAAAACGUUUAGGACAGGUUCUAGGGGGUAAUCUCCUCAUCUCGAAAUGUUCAUACAUCAGCUCUUUGACAUAUUCCCAGUGUGGGGUUGGUUCCUUGAAGUAGAUGCGACAUUCUUCCUCUUGAAGCCACCAUUGGUAAGCUUCUCCUACAAGGGUGUCUAAGGCUAUGGACAGCUUCUUAUGUUCAGGAACUUUGUACUCCCAAAAAUAAUUUUCCAUGUCUUCCUCCCAUCUGGAGUAGUUCUCUUUUCCUGAAAAAGACACAAGUGUUUUGGUGAAAACUGUUGGACUAUAGUCAUAAAAUUUAUCAGUAAAUUUUAACCAAGGUUUAGAAUAGCUCUUGUUGAUGGUAUGGUUCUUGUAGUGGUCUUGUGGCUUGGAAUCAAGCUCCCCACGACAUGGUCCUUCCUCAUAUCCAUCUUCAGCCCUUGACUCUCUACACUGGUCGUCUUCUUCAGAGCCAUCUCCAUAGUUUUGAUCUUCCCAUGAGUAUCCCGGUUCUUCACCCAAAUCAACUUCAGAAAUAUUGUACUCAUCAGCUUCUUCUUCAGAGCCAUCUCCAUAGUUUUGAUCUUCCCAUGAGUAUCCCGGUUCUUCACCCCAAUCAACUUCAUUAAUAUUGUACUCAUCAGCUUCUUCUUCAGUCGCCAUGUCUACCAAGUUAAGGAUUAAAUAUCUCAAGAAGAAGAUGAAAGUAUUCUGAAUCAAGUGAUUAAACAAGAAAACGUGACUAGCAAAGUUAAAGGAAAGAAGAAGAAACUAAACACUAAACAAAAUGGGCAAUUUCUGAUUUCCUCUCUUUUUUUUUUUUUUUAAUAAAGUUUGCAAGUAAACAAAAAUCUUUUGGAAAGGAAUAAGUUUCGGUUGACCAGAAGAAGGAAAACUUUCAAAAACUCCACCAAAAUUUGGAAACUCGGAUAUUAACUUAAUUCUAACAGCUUUUAUGUUUUUUUUUUUUUUUUUUUUAAGAUAUGGAUCUAAGAAACAAUUAAAUCGACAGGAUGAAGAACAAAUGAAGAACACAACUUUUUAUGGGUUUUAAUAUUUUUGACAGAACUAAAGAACUAAAUGCAACAAAUGCAACAAAUGACAAACAAUUUUAUUUUUAUGAUUUUAUGAAAUAGAAACAAGAUAAACAAGAUGCAACAGAAACAAAUGUGACUUUUUAUAGGUUUUAUAUGAUUAUGCAAAACAAAACUAAAUGAAAAACAAAAUGCAAAACAAAAUUAAAAGAGAUAAGGGUUGGAUGAACACAACCUGGGGAUAGGAGCUUUAAGCUCUGAUACCAAAAAUGAUACAAGCCUAAGCUAACAAAGGCUAGAUCACAAGGCAACAAGAGUUGUCAAGCUUGAAUGGAUCGAUUGUCGCCACAAAGGGUUGCGGAAGUAUCCCUUUGAUAAGACCAGAAGCCUGCGCCAAUGUGAAUCCACACAAAGACAGAGACCUACACUUGUAUCCUAGAAUGAAUCCACAAACUAAAGAGACAAGCAAACGAACAAGAAAUCUAAAGGAAUCCACCUAAAGACUAAUUGAACAAAACAAAGACAAACUUUGUAAACUGAAUAAUACUUUAUUAAUUUCGUGCAAGGGGUGAUUUACAAAUGAGACUUAGCUCUGUUUAAAUAGAAAAGAACACAAAUGCCUAAAAGAAUAACUUGGAAAGAAAUAAUAAGUGAAAAACUAGCCGUUGGACUUAGUUGGUGCAGAAUCUGUCCAUGUAUGGAAGUUGUAUUCUCUCCUUGUAUCUUGUGAGUUUGGGCAGAUAUAAAUGCAUCCGUGGGAUCUCCUUUGAUGUCUGGAUAGUCUCUAAGUCGUGCCUGAACAGAAGGGGAAAGAGCCGUUGGUCUUCAAUAACUCCAAGUGUGAAUGCAUCCAUGUAAGGUAAGUUGACAAAUAAGGGAUUCAUCUUGAUCAUGUGGCUGCUGGUGUAAUGAACUCCUAGGAUGCUUCUUUGGAUUGAAUUGGAUAGAUCCUUGUAUAAACGAAUCAGAGACUCAAGUUUAUCAAGGUGAUGGAUCGUUUGGUGACACAAAGAGUUGCGGAAUGGCUCCUUGAUACUCCUAGAUGACUAGCUUGGAUAUUACACACCAAAAUAGACACCCUUAGUUGUUGGAUAUGACACACCAACGAGAUUCACUCAAGACUUGAUGAGAAGUAAAGAGAGAACAAAGAAAUCUGAUAGAUUUGUAGAAAAAGGAUUGUGCUUAAAAGAGAGAACGCAAACACACUUAUAUAGAGAAGUAUGGAACAGGCUCCAUAUUCUCGAGAUCAUUAAAGGGAACAGGCUCCCUUGGAACUACAACAAAGACUAAAGACUUAUUCAAAUUCGAAAAGAGUUUUUAAAACAUGAAAUAAAAACCAUAGUUUAAAAAUGACCUAAGGUGGAACCGUGAUACAUCAUCUAAGGUUUAUGUAAGUAACUUGUGGCCUCAUUAAAAACCUUCCUUUGGAAAACCCAAUGGGACAAAACCAAAGGCUAGGAAAAGAGCACACACAAGCACUUGCUUAGAUGAUGAUCAGUUUGAAACCAUUGCUUGAAUGGUGAUAAGAGUGUCUUGAUUGAUCAAACGUCCAUCAAGACCGUCUUCUUGCUUCCAUGAGAUCAUAAGUAGACUUCCAACAGCUUCUUUGAGUCUUCUAGCUUUGGCGCGAGUGAUGGGACCUGGUGGAAUGACUAAGGCAUCAUCUUCUUCCCUUGAUUGGUCUUUGAACUCUUUAUCUCCAUCCUUGUGCCGGUCCAUGAUCAUAUCAUCCCCUCCCUCUUGAAAAGGAUUUGUCCUCAAAUCUGGCUCAUCUGCAAAAUAAGGAACCAAGUCAGUGAUAUUAAAACUAUUGCUCACAUCAUACCUUCCUUGGAGAUCCAGCUUGUAAGCAUUGUUGCCGAUUUUCUUUAUGAUCUCAAAUGGUCCAUCAAUCCUUGGCAUGAGCUUGGAUUUCCUCUCAUUAGGAAAUCUUUCUUUCCUUAGGUGAAUCCAGACUUGAUCACCCACUUUAAAGACUCUUUCACGCCUCCCCUUGUUUGCUUGUUUGGCAUAUUGCUUAGUCUUCUCUUCUAUGUUGCGCCUUGCUUGUUCAUGAAGUUGUUGUACCUUCUCUGCCUUCUUCUUGCCAUCAAGACUAACUCUUUCACACUCAGGUAAAGGUAUUAGAUCCAAAGGAGAGAUGGGAUUGAACCCAUAAACAAUUUCAAAUGGAGAAAACUUAGUAGCAGAAUGCACAGCAUGAUUAUAUGCAAAUUCACAAUGAGGCAAACAAUCUUCCCAUGAUUUCAAGUUCUUCUUUAUAAUUGCACGCAAGAGUGUACCAAGAGUUCUAUUAACUACUUCAGUCUGACCAUCAGUUUGUGGGUGACAAGUAGUAGAAAAUAAUAGCUUAGUGCCUAGUUUAGACCAGAGAGUUUUCCAAAAGUAGCUUAGGAACUUAGUAUCUCUAUCAGAUACAAUAGUCUUAGGCAUGCCAUGUAAACGCACAAUCUCCUUAAAGAACAAGUUAGCUACAUGCAAUGCAUCAUCAGUUUUAUGACAAGCAAUGAAGUGUGCCAUCUUAGAAAAUCUAUCAACUACCACAAAGAUUGAAUCUUUACCAGUACGAGUUCUAGGCAAUCCAACAAUGAAGUCCAUAGAGAUAUCAUUCCAAGGAUGAUAAGGGAUGGGUAAAGGCGUGUACAAACCAUGGUUUUGGACUUUGGACUUAGCUUGUUUACAAGUUGCACACCUUUCACAGAGUCUUUCCACAUCUCUUUUCAUCCGCGGCCAGUAGAAGUGAUCCUGCAAGGUCUUGAGAGUUUUUGCGACACCAAAAUGUCCCAUGAGGCUUCCUCCAUGAGAUUCCCUAACAAAUAAAUCUCUCAAAGAACAAUUAGGCACACAAAGUCUAUUAUCAUAGAAAAGAAAUCCAUCCUGCCUAAAGUAAUGUCCAGCAGCAAAUUUCUCACAAGACUUAUAAGCAUCUUUAAAUUCAGGAUCAUUCUCAUACAUUACUUUAAUCUGCUCAAAUCCUAAUAGCUUAACAUCAAGAGUGUUCAAGAGAACAUACCUUCUGGAUAGUGCAUCAGCAACUAUGUUUUCCUUACCUUGUUUAUACUUGAUGACAUAAGGAAAUGUCUCAAUGAACUCAACCCACCUUGCGUGUCUCUUGCUGAGUUUGUUUUGGCUUUUAAGGUACUUGAGAGACUCAUGAUCAGUGUGAAUGACAAACUCCUUGGGCCAUAGGUAAUGCUGCCAUGUCUGCAAAGCCCUCACCAAAGCGUAGAGUUCCUUGUCAUAAGUAGCAUAGUUGAGAGUCGCUCCUCCUAGUUUCUCACUGAAAUAUGCUAUGGGUCUCUUCUCCUGCAUAAGAACAGCACCAAUUCCAAUUCCUGAAGCAUCACAUUCAAUUUCAAAAGUUUUAUUGAAAUCAGGAAGUAUAAGAAGAGGGGCAUUAGUAAGCUUCUCUUUUAGGCAUUGAAAGGCAAGUUCUUGUGCUUCUCCCCAUUUGAAUCCAACUUCUUUCUUGAUCACCUCAGUCAAUGGAGCGGCUAUGGUGCUAAAAUCUUUUACAAACCGUCGGUAGAAGCCAGCUAAUCCAUGGAAGCUUCGCACUUCACUGAUGGUUUUAGGAAUCGGCCACUCUUGUAUUGCUUUCACCUUCUCUUGAUCUACCUUUACUCCAUCUGCACUCACAACAAAGCCUAGAAAAACCAAGUGAUCCGUUCCAAAAGUACACUUCUUAAGGUUAGCAAAAAGAGAUUCCUUUCUAAGCACAUCAAGAACAGCUCUAAGAUGUCCUAUAUGAUCAUUAAAGCUCUUACUGUAUACAAGGAUGUCAUCAAAGUAUACCACAACAAAUAUGCCAAUGAAUGAUCUAAGAACAUGAUUCAUUAAUCUCAUGAAUGUACUAGGUGCAUUGGUUAAUCCAAAUGGCAUGACUAACCACUCAUAAAGACCAUGUUUAGUUUUGAAUGCAGUUUUCCAUUCAUCUCCUUCUUUCAUCCUAAUCUGAUGGUAUCCACUUUUCAAAUCAAUCUUAGAAAAUAUGCAGGAACCAUGCAAUUCAUCAAGCAUAUCAUCUAAUCUAGGAAUAGGAUGGCGAUACUUUACAGUGAUGUUGUUGAUGGCUCUACAAUCAACACACAUGCGCCAGCUUCCAUCUUUCUUAGGCACAAGAAGCACUGGUACUGCACAUGGGCUCAUGCUCUCACGGAUAUGCCCCUUUGCCAUCAACUCCUCAACUUGUUUUUGCAGUUCUUUAGUCUCCACGGGAUUAGUCCUAUAAGCUGGCCUAUUUGGAAGUGUAGAACCAGGAACAAAAUCAAUCUGAUGCUCAAUCCCUCUAAGAGGUGGAAGACCAAUUGGAUUAUCUUCAGGAAAUACAUCUUCAAAUUCCUGUAAAAGACACUUAAUUUCACUCGGAUAUACCGGUGUUGGGUCAGUAACAUUCAAAAGAGACUCUUUAAAGAUAAGUAAAAGAAUAGAUUGAUGAGCAUUGAGAGUUCUUUUGAUUUCACCCGAUUUGGCAUAGAGACUAUGCUGCUUCUUUGAUUCAGGUUUGAGGUCUAUUUCUUUCUUCUUUUGUAGCUGCAGUUGAUCUUGAUGAACUUCCUUUGGUGUUAGAGGAACCAGCACAGUCUUCUUUCCUUUGAACUCAAACGUGUGCUUGUUGGUGUAGCCAUCAUGUAUCACUCGUCUAUCUGAUUGCCAUGGCCGACCAAGAAGGAUAUGUCCAGCUUCCAUAGGCAAUACAUCACAGAGAACCUCAUCCUCAUACCUUCCAAUUGCAAUGGGAACCGAAACCUGACUAGAAACCCUCAUUUCUCCUUCUUCAUUCAACCAUUGAAGCCGGUAGGGCUUUGGAUGUUUCUGUACUUGGAGGCCAAGCUUCUUUACCAUAGUUUCACUAGCUACAUUCACACAACUUCCUCCAUCAAUGAUAAGACUACAGACCUUUCCUUGCACAAGGCACCGAGUGUAGAAUAGAUUCUCUCUCUGUUCUUGCUCUUCAGCUUUACUUUGCAAACUCAAAGUUCUUCUAGCCACCAAUAACCUUCCUUUCACGGGUUCUUCUUCAUAUUCUUCUUCAAUAAGCGCCUUACACUCAGACUCUGAAAGCUCAUCCUCAGAUUCAUACUCUCCAUUCUCAAGAAGAAUCAUGAUUCUUUUAUUGGUGCACUCAUUUGCAUAAUGGCCUCUACCCUGACACUUAAAGCACUUAACAUCUCUAGCUCUUGCACUUGAAACCUCGGCCUUUCCUUUAUCCUUGCUGUAAAAGGAAUUUGGCUUUGAGUCUUCUUUCAGUUGCGGUUUGCUUUCCUUUUGAUAGCUAGACUUUUCUUCUUUAGUUCCCUGAAGUCUGGUGUUGUAACGAGAAUGAGAAUGGCCCUUCCUCUUAACUUGUUGCUCAACUAGUAUAGCUUUGUGAAGCAUCUCUUCUAUCUCCACAUAGUGCUGCAUCUCAACAUUAUCUUGUAUCUCUCGGUUGAGACCUCCUAAGAACCUAGCCAUAGUAGCUUCUUUAUCUUCAGAAACACGAGCUCUCAGCAUCAACAGCUCCAUGUCUUGAUAGUAUUCUUCAACAGAUCGAGAUCCUUGGGUGAGUCUUCUUAACUUCUGGUGCAAGUCGCGAUGAUAGUGAUUUGGCACAAAUCUUUUACGCAUGAGAGCCUUCAUCUCGUGCCAUGUUUCAACGGGAUACUCUUGGUUAAGUCUCCUGGUAGUCACAAGCUGGUCCCACCAACUCAGCGCAUAGUCAUGGAACUCAGUUGCUGCUAUCUGAAUCCUUUGGGCAUUGGUGUAGUGCUUACAGUUAAACACCAACUCCAUCUUCUUUUCCCAUUCCAAGUAAGCAUCCGGAUCAACUUUGCCAUGGAAAGGAGGUAUCUUCAGCUUUAAACCAGCAAGAUCAUCUCUGUAAGUUCUCCUUUCAUCAUGAUCUCUUCUAUGUCUCCUUCUACUAUCUCUAGAAGAGGAACUGCUGUGCGUGGCUCGGUUACGCUCAUAGUAGUGGUCUGUUUCUUGUGAUUCAGCAUGCUCUCUCGGGGUUUCAUCACGUCUUUCUCGUCUAGACUCAUUGCUAUGACCUUGGCCCGUAGCUUGCCUUAUCUCUUGCCUUAUUUCAUCGCGAAGUUCCUUCAUACUGCUCUUGAUCAUAUCAGCAACGGUAGUGAUCAUCGUUUGGUUUAAUUGCUCAGUCAUCUGAUCUCUCAAUAACUUGUUCUGUCUCACGAGUUCUGCUUCAUCUUCCGACUCUCUCACCAUGGUACCUGAUUCAGAAAACACUCAAACAAGUAAGAUGUUCACAAGAAUCAAAUCAGAACAAUUAGUCGACGCGGAAACAACUUUCAAAAGAUUCAAAAGAUAGAAAACUUGCAGAUCACGGAUUAGAGAAUUCAAAUCGACAAGACUAAGAUUAGAUCUAUCAAUUUUGGAUUUAUGCAGAUCAGAUUCAAGACAAAUAAGAACAGAUCUAUCACAGAAACAACACAAAUCAAGUUAUUCAGCAAGUGAUUCGACAGAUCAAGCGAUUCGAUUACUUCCUUCACACGGAUCGGAUGAGUUUGAUUCAAAAUAUGAUAAGAACACUUAGAUCUAAUAGGAUUCAACACAGACGAUUAGCAAUCAGGUGAUAUGCUACUCAGAUGAUACGAGAAACAACAACAGAUCGCAGAUCUAUCAAUGGUAAUCAAAGAAGUUGAAAAGUUUAUUUGAAACAGAAGAGAAAUCGAAAACUUCCCAAUCCAAAGCAGCUCUGAUACCACUUAAUGAACUCCUAGGAUGCUUCUUUGGAUUGAAUUGGAUAGAUCCUUGUAUAAACGAAUCAGAGACUCAAGUUUAUCAAGGUGAUGGAUCGUUUGGUGACACAAAGAGUUGCGGAAUGGCUCCUUGAUACUCCUAGAUGACUAGCUUGGAUAUUACACACCAAAAUAGACACCCUUAGUUGUUGGAUAUGACACACCAACGAGAUUCACUCAAGACUUGAUGAGAAGUAAAGAGAGAACAAAGAAAUCUGAUAGAUUUGUAGAAAAAGGAUUGUGCUUAAAAGAGAGAACGCAAACACACUUAUAUAGAGAAGUAUGGAACAGGCUCCAUAUUCUCGAGAUCAUUAAAGGGAACAGGCUCCCUUGGAACUACAACAAAGACUAAAGACUUAUUCAAAUUCGAAAAGAGUUUUUAAAACAUGAAAUAAAAACCAUAGUUUAAAAAUGACCUAAGGUGGAACCGUGAUACAUCAUCUAAGGUUUAUGUAAGUAACUUGUGGCCUCAUUAAAAACCUUCCUUUGGAAAACCCAAUGGGACAAAACCAAAGGCUAGGAAAAGAGCACACACAAGCACUUGCUUAGAUGAUGAUCAGUUUGAAACCAUUGCUUGAAUGGUGAUAAGAGUGUCUUGAUUGAUCAAACGUCCAUCAAGACCGUCUUCUUGCUUCCAUGAGAUCAUAAGUAGACUUCCAACAGCUUCUUUGAGUCUUCUAGCUUUGGCGCGAGUGAUGGGACCUGGUGGAAUGUGUUGACUUGAAGAAAAGAAAUGGAGUGGUGAAGGGUUGAGUUGAGAUUGAGUCUUGAGCAAGAAUAGGGCAAGACCUCCGGAGAUUAUCUAUGAAGACUUUAGGAGUGUUUGAAGGUGUCCAGAAGUGCUCAUAUGGCUGUGCAAAGAUAGGUCCAAGUCCAGGAGGGACUUAGAAGAGUGUUUGGGAGCAAAUGGGCAAGUGUGCAUACUUAGGGCGAGGCUGUACGGAUGGUACGGACCUGUACGGAUCCGUACGGACCGAGACAACCCGAGGAAACACAACUUGGCCAUUUGAGAUGUUUUGAGGUGGUGCAAAGUCCGGGACAAGAUGUGCAAGCUUAGGGCAUGAUCAGAACAUGUCCGGGAGACUUUGUGCAUACUUAGGGCUGAUAAAAAGAAGUCUGGUCGUGAAGCAUCAAAAGGGAAUCAAGAAGAUCCUUUGUGGAGGCAAGCGGCCAAUGAGAGCAAAGAUGGAGCUGAUUGGUUACUUUGGAGGAUGGACAGGCUGGCUUUGGCUGUAAAGCCAAAGGGAGCCACGACCAUGAACAUGGUCUGAAUGAAGGCUUGAUACAUGGGAGCCUAUAAGGAGCCAAUGGGAGAACAGCCUUCCCUUUGACCAGUUUGAAUAAACCAAUCAGACAUCAACUAGCUCUCCUCCAAUCAAGACAUCUCACACAGAUUGCAAUCUCAACUCUCCAUCCUGGCCAUCCAUUUAUAUUCAGUCAUUUCUAUCCAUUAGAUUUAGGUUUAUGAGAAUGCAAAGUUGUAAACCUUAUAAAAGGAGAUGUAAUUGGCGAUUUCAAGCCUUAAGGGGAGUUUGGGGGAUUUCCCCUCUCCACUUCAUAAUGAAAUGUGUUCU
RNAcentral lists this long non-coding RNA (41278 nucleotides) under Brassica rapa (field mustard). RNAcentral describes it as "long non-coding RNA (BRAP_LNC008070)". Lineage: Eukaryota; Viridiplantae; Streptophyta; Magnoliopsida; Brassicales; Brassicaceae. The record is from RNAcentral.